GACGAACGCUGGCGGCGUGCUUAACACAUGCAAGUCGAACGGAAAGGCCCUGCUUUUGUGGGGUGCUCGAGUGGCGAACGGGUGAGUAACACGUGAGUAACCUGCCCUUGACUUUGGGAUAACUUCAGGAAACUGGGGCUAAUACCGGAUAGGAGCUCCUGCUGCAUGGUGGGGGUUGGAAAGUUUCGGCGGUUGGGGAUGGACUCGCGGCUUAUCAGCUUGUUGGUGGGGUAGUGGCUUACCAAGGCUUUGACGGGUAGCCGGCCUGAGAGGGUGACCGGCCACAUUGGGACUGAGAUACGGCGCAGACUCCUACGGGAGGCAGCAGUGGGGAAUAUUGCACAGUGGGCGGAAGCCUGAUGCAGCAACGCCGCGUGCGGGAUGACGGCCUUCGGGUUGUAAACCGCUGUCGCCUGUGACGAAGAGUGAGUGACGGUAAUGGGUAAAGAAGCACCGGCUAACUACGUG
Molecule: ribosomal RNA, 468 nt
Filed under: uncultured bacterium
Lineage: Bacteria
Description: partial 16S ribosomal RNA
Rfam family: Bacterial small subunit ribosomal RNA
Source: RNAcentral